Molecule: ribosomal RNA, 254 nt
Filed under: uncultured bacterium
Lineage: Bacteria
Description: partial 16S ribosomal RNA
Rfam family: Bacterial small subunit ribosomal RNA
Source: RNAcentral
UACGUAGGGAGCGAGCGUUGUCCGGAUUCAUUGGGCGUAAAGAGCUCGUAGGCGGCUUGGCAAGUCGGGUGUGAAAACUCCAGGCUCAACCUGGAGACGCCACCCGAUACUGCCAUGGCUAGAGUCCGGUAGGGGACCACGGAAUUCCUGGUGUAGCGGUGAAAUGCGCAGAUAUCAGGAGGAACACCGGUGGCGAAGGCAGAUCUCUGGGCCGUAACUGACGCUGAGGAGCGAAAGCAUGGGGAGCGAACAGG